RNAcentral lists this long non-coding RNA (406 nucleotides) under Sus scrofa (pig). RNAcentral's name for it is "lncRNA (ENSSSCG00005008291.1)". Lineage: Eukaryota; Metazoa; Chordata; Mammalia; Artiodactyla; Suidae. The record is from RNAcentral.
CAGCAUCUCUUGCCAUCUCGCCUCUCUUCCCAGUUCAACAGUGUUGGACAACUCGAGAAAUUCAGGUUGGCCAGGAAGGCUACAGAAGCCGACCCUGGAUGACUUAAAUAAAAAAAGAAGAGUGAAUUGAAUGAAUGCGUCAAUUCACAGUCAUGAUGGCAAAACCGAAGAACAGGUUGAGAGGAUGGUCGGAGCCAUGGGAGAGAAAGGCGGUCAGAAUCACAACACAAAUCAGACCACAGUGCAGCCUGAGACAUCAGAAAGAAUCUCUACUGCUCUCGCUUCUCUGUCGCCGCCUCCAGAGUCAAAGCCCCAGGGGAAACAGCCAACUGGCCCCAGUUCCCAUGAAGUGAGGUAGGGUAAGACAAUUUGCCUUUUUUUUUUUUUUACCUUCUGGAAUGAGAGA